GAUGAACGCUGGCGGCAUGCCUAACACAUGCAAGUCGAACGGACUCUUAUAUUAGAAAAUCUCUACAUGCUUAGAGGUUCCCUAAUAUCAGAGUUAGUGGCGGACGGGUGAGUAACACGUUAGUACCUGCCCUUCAGUGGGGAAUAACUCGGCGAAAGUCGAGCUAAUACCGCAUAGGCUCGUUUACGAGUAAAGACUUCGGUCGCUGAAGGAGGGGCUUGCGUCUGAUUAGCUAGUUGGUGGGGUAAAGGCCCACCAAGGCGACGAUCAGUAGCUGGUUCGAGAGGAUGACCAGCCACACUGGGACUGAGAUACGGCCCAGACUCCUACGGGAGGCAGCAGUGAGGAAUCUUCCGCAAUGGGCGAAAGCCUGACGGAGCAAUGCCGCGUGCAGGAUGACGGCC
Molecule: ribosomal RNA, 404 nt
Filed under: uncultured bacterium
Lineage: Bacteria
Description: bacterial SSU rRNA
Rfam family: Bacterial small subunit ribosomal RNA
Source: RNAcentral